GAUGAAGAACGUAGCGAAAUGCGAUAAGUAGUGUGAAUUGCAGAAUUCCGUGAAUCAUCGAAUCUUUGAACGCACAUUGCGCCUUCUGGUAUUCCGGAAGGCAUGCCUGUUCGAGAGUCAUUAACAACCGUUUCGAUCCCUUUCUUUCAGAAAUUACAAAGAGGAAAAGGGUUUGGUUAUGGUGGAGGAGGGAAAGGGAGCGUUUAGCCUGUAAAAAAAGAGGCUGUGUUCCGCCUCCCCCCCAAAAUUGUACAGGCGGUCGUGUGCGCCCACGCAUCGAGGUGUUGUAAAAGCUGCCACGGCACUUUUCACCUGUGCAGUGCGAGAUUGGCCAGCCGGUUUUAAAACCCCUCCAAACAAUCAAAGGUUGACCUCGGAUCAGGUAGGGAUACCCGCUGAACUUAAGCAUAUCAAUAAGCGGAGGA
RNAcentral lists this unclassified non-coding RNA (425 nucleotides) under soil metagenome. RNAcentral describes it as "partial contains 5.8S ribosomal RNA, internal transcribed spacer 2, and large subunit ribosomal RNA". The stretch from base 1 to 120 matches the Rfam family "5.8S ribosomal RNA", at positions 35 to 154 of the family's 154-position model. The record is from RNAcentral.